AUGAAUUAAGUACUAGUAUAUAUCAUUUACAAUGAUAAGGUCUAUUAAAUAGAAUUCAUUAUUUAUAUCGUAAGAAAAAUUAUAUGUUUAUAUACCUUUUGCAUAAUGGUUUAAUAAAAAAAUAAAAUUAAUGUACCCGAAAUUAGAAGAUCUAACCUAUUAGUAAAGUUUAAAUAAUGUUUCAAAAUUAUUAUUUAGUAAAAGUUAGGGGUGAAAGGCCUAUCAAUUCUAAUAAUAUCUGGAAUAAUUUUAAAUGUAUUUAGUACAAAAUAAAAUUUGAAUAAAAAAAUGUUAAUUUUUUUAUAAAGAAUUGAAAUAAAUUAAUUUAAGAAUUAAUCUUCAAUUAAAUAAAAAAAAAUUUUUUAUUAAAUAAAUCUUUAUAUUAAAAUUAUAUUUAAUAUUAUUAAAAAAUUAAUUAUGUUAAAAUUAGUAUAAAUAUUAUUAUUUUUUUAAGGAACUCGGCUCUCAUCUGUUUAUCAAAAACAUAGUCUUAUGAAUAUAUUAGGUGAAACCUGCCCACUGAUUUUUAACGGCCGCAGUACUUUGACUGUGCUAAGGUAGCAUAAUAAAUUGACUCUUAAUUGGGGCCUUGAAUGAAAGGAUUAAUGGGUAAUUUCUGUCUUAAAUAAAUAAAUUUUAAUUUACUUAAAAGGUGAAAAUUCCUUUAAUAUAAUAAAAUAGACGAGAAGACCCUAGGAGUUAUUUUGUUGGGGCGACAAUAUAGCAUAACCUAUUAUUUAUAAAAAACGAAAUAUUUUAAUAAUAAUUUAACUACCCUAGGGAUAACAGCAUAAUUUAAUUUUAAGUUUGUGACCUCGAUGUUGGACUAGGAACUUUUAAAGCUAAUCGCGUUAA
Molecule: ribosomal RNA, 855 nt
Filed under: Parmavitrina disposita
Lineage: Eukaryota; Metazoa; Mollusca; Gastropoda; Stylommatophora; Helicarionidae
Description: partial large subunit ribosomal RNA
Source: RNAcentral